RNAcentral lists this small RNA (127 nucleotides) under Marmota monax (woodchuck). Lineage: Eukaryota; Metazoa; Chordata; Mammalia; Rodentia; Sciuridae. The record is from RNAcentral.
GCCAGGUGCUGUGGUGCACACCUGUAAUCCCAGCAACUUGGGAGGCUGAGGCAGGAUGAUUGUUAGUUCAAAGCCAACCUCAGUAAUUUAGCAAGGCCUUAAGCAACUUAGUGAGACCCUGUCUCAA